CUAUACAUGACUCUGCGCAUAUCAAUAAGCGGAGGAAAAGAAACUAACAAGGAUUCCCCUAGUAACGGCGAGUGAAGCGGGAAGAGCUCAAAUUUGAAAUCUUCAAGGGUUUACCUUUACGAAUUGUAGUUUAAAGAAGUGUUUUCUGCUGAGGUUUUGGUAAAAGUUCUUUGGAAUAGGACAUCAUAGAGGGUGAGAAUCCCGUAUUUGACCAUUACUUUUCAACUUUGUGAUACACUUUCAAAGAGUCGGAUUGUUUGGGAAUGCAGUCCAAAAUGGGUGGUAAAUUUCAUCUAAAGCUAAAUAUUGGCGAGAGACCGAUAGCGAACAAGUACCGUGAGGGAAAGAUGAAAAGAACUUUGAAAAGAGAGUUAAACAGUACGUGAAAUUGUCAAAAGGGAAGCGUUUGACACCAGUGUUGUUUUUCUGAAAAUCAAUUAAAGAACUGUUUAUGCUAAGUUGUUUAGACUUUAUCAGCUAACUGUUUAGUUUUGAGCUUUUCUUUAAUGCACUUUUCAGUUAACAAGUCAACAUCAAUUUCUUUUGCUGUAAAAAAGCUUGAGGAAGGUGGCUUGAGAUUCGUCUUAAGUGUUUAUAGCCUCUUGCCUAUGCAGUCGGAGAGAUUGAGGUCUGCAGCGUAGAUCCUUCGGGGCUAAAUGCAUUUGUGCUAAGUUAUAGCAUUUUAUAGACAACUUGUUGACUAUGAUUUGUCUUGUAGCUUACUCGCUUAUGUUAUUUUACCUACGCUUAGGAUGUUGACAGCAGUAUAGACUGU
Molecule: ribosomal RNA, 775 nt
Filed under: uncultured Neocallimastigales
Lineage: Eukaryota; Fungi; Neocallimastigomycota; Neocallimastigomycetes; Neocallimastigales
Description: partial large subunit ribosomal RNA
Rfam family: Eukaryotic large subunit ribosomal RNA
Source: RNAcentral